RNAcentral lists this transfer RNA (76 nucleotides) under Candidatus Desulfovibrio intestinipullorum. RNAcentral describes it as "tRNA-Lys". It matches the Rfam family "tRNA". From Rfam's summary of the family: Transfer RNA (tRNA) molecules are approximately 80 nucleotides in length. The record is from RNAcentral. Lineage: Bacteria; Pseudomonadati; Thermodesulfobacteriota; Desulfovibrionia; Desulfovibrionales; Desulfovibrionaceae.
GGGUCACUAGCUCAAUUGGUAGAGCAGUUGACUCUUAAUCAAUUGGUUUGGAGUUCGAGUCUCCGAUGGCCCACCA